RNAcentral lists this ribosomal RNA (245 nucleotides) under uncultured bacterium. RNAcentral's name for it is "partial 16S ribosomal RNA". It matches the Rfam family "Bacterial small subunit ribosomal RNA", at positions 524 to 768 of the family's 1533-position model. The record is from RNAcentral.
UACAGAGGGUGCAAGCGUUAAUCGGAGUUACUGGGCGUAAAGGGCGCGUAGGCGGUUAUUUAAGUGAGAUGUGAAAUCCCUGGGCUUAACCUAGGAACUGCAUCUUAUACUGGAUGACUGGAGUACUGUAGAGGGUAGUGGAAUUUCCGGUGUAGCGGUGAAAUGCGUAGAGAUCGGAAGGAACACCAGUGGCGAAGGCGGCUACCUGGACAGAUACUGACGCUGAGGCGCGAGAGCGUGGGGAG